CCCCGCCCAGACCCCAGAUCCGGCCAUUGCGCCGGGCUGAACGCCGUGCCUGGACUGGGCAUCGGCACAAAGGAGGACUCCGGCCAUGGAGCUGGGUUGGACACUGUGCCUGGACAUCGGCGCAGAAGAAGGCUCCGGCCUUGGAGCUGGACUGGAUGCCUUACCUGGAAGCUCUGGACCGUUGACUGUCGCCGGAGGUUCCGGACCGUUGACCGUCGCCGGAGGUUCUGGACCGUCGCCGGAGGUUUCGGACCGUCGCCAGAAGCUCCGGACCGGGAACCGUCGCUGGAAGCUCUGGACUGUGAAUGCGCACUGGAGGCCUAGUGCGUGGAACUGGCACAGGUGGCACCGGACUGGACUGGGGACACGCUCUUCAGGGCGAGUGCGAGGAGCAGGCACAGGACGUACCGGACUGGGGACACGCUCUUCAGGGCGAGUGCGAGGAGCAGGCACAGGAUGUACCGGACUGGGGACACGCUCUUCAGGGCGAGUGCGAGGAGCAGGCACAAGACUUACCGGACUGGGGACACGCUCUUCAGGGCGAGUGCGAGGAGCAGGCACAGGACAUACCGGACUGGGGACACGCUCUUCAGGGCGAGUGCGAGGAGCAGGCACAGGACAUACCGGACUGGGGACACGCUCUUCAGGGCGAGUGCGAGGAGCAGGCACAGGACAUACCGGACUGGGGACACGCUCUUCAGGGCGAGUGCGAGGAGCAGGCACAGGACAUACCGGACUGGGGACACGCUCUUCAGGGCGAGUGCGAGGAGCAUCUCAUCUCUGUCUCUCCCAACCUCUCCAUUGCCUCCCUGACAGUCUCUGGCUCUUCCUGCGGCUCCAUGUGCCCCCCAAAAAAACUCUUGGGGUUUCUGUGGCCGUGGUCUGACGACACGGUCCUCUAGAGUUUGCCAUUCGGGCUCUGGCACUCUCCUCGGCUCGAUCGGCCACCCCUUGUGCCCCCCCCCCCAAAAAAAACUUGGGGUUGUCCUUGGGCUUUCUGUGGCCGCGAACCCUGGCGUCGUCGCUGUCCUCCGUUAUUACCUUCCAUCUGCCGCCAAGGAAGGGUUUCGCAUCCACCCAUCACUUCUUACCACGUCCAAAACUCCUUUACCUGGUGAACACGCUGCUUGGUCCUGGUUUGUUGGGAUAUUCUCUCACCUUCUUGAAAAUGAUCAGACCAAGGCGCAGCGUGAGUAUAGUUCCACAUAUUUAUUUAAGUGAAACUAACAAAACAAAAUAACAAAACUUACAAAGACCGUGAGGACGUAGUGCCCAAACACACAAACAAUCAAUAUCCCACCAAACACAGGUAGGGAAAUAACUACCUAAAUAUGAUCCCCAAUCAGAGGCAACGAUAAACAGCUGCCUCUAAUUGGGAACCAUAUUAGCACCAACAUAGAAAUAGACAUACUAGAUCACCCCUUAGUCACGCCCUGACCUACUACACCAUAGAAAACCAAGGGCUCUCUAUGGUCAGGGUGUGACAAAACCGGUGUUAUAUGUUUUUACAGAUAUUCUAAAAUGGGUGGACAACGAUUUUUCAGGUUAUCCGUCAUUUACCCAGUUGCUACCGGGAAUAAUUGAUAUGGAUCAGCCAUCAUUAGAUGGAGGUUCUCAGAAGCAGACAGUGCCCGGUCCUUUACAUAGCCCGUCACCGUCACGCUAUUUUUGACCGGACAGCCCCCCAGCAAGGAUAUGUGAUGCAUAAUGGACUCUGAACGACUUCGGAGGAGCCGAUGAAACAGACAGUAUUCUACCGUUUUGUACGAAUGUUUUUCCAAACACUCCAAGAACUGAGGCUAUAACCAGCAGAUCCACACCCCCAGGAACCUCAAGCCAAUCGCUCCAUAAUCUGGCAUUUACGACGCUUCAUAGUCCUUCACGACUCCGCACAGCUGUGGCCAAAGUGCAUUGCGCAGAAUCACCCCAGCCCGAGAAGGGAGGAUACAGGGCUGAAAACGUACGGAUUCAAGAACCGGCGCUCUAUAGAUACGACUCCAACGAUACACGCCUGGCAGAAUCUGCAAAGCCAGGUGAAAAAAGUCUAGAGCCCUUGGUAUCCACGAUUCGUCAGAACAGCCUGCGUCAAAAAAGCAGAGGUACCGUAAUUUCCGGACUAUAAGCCGCAACUUUUUUCCCACACUUUGAACCUCGUGGCUUAAACAAUGACGCGGCUAAUAUAUGGGUUUUUCCCGCUUUCACAUUUUUUUUCCCCAAAAAAACACAUUCUGUGACGUGCUCAGUUUUUUGGCGGCAUGAAGCUUUCAUUAGACCAAUGAAAUUGCCGAACGGGUUAAGGUCAAACUACUUUUUUGUUUACUGUUUAGAUUAAAUCGAGCGCGCUCAAACUUCUCAUCAUUCUGAUUACGGUAGUCAUUUUGUCACCCUGAUUCCUGGGGGCACAACAAAGUAUUUGCAGCCACUCGACAACAGUGUAAAUCGUGCAUUUAAGGUGGCGCUCCGUGUUCAGCGGGAGGCUUGGAUGACAAGUGGGGAGAAAUCCUUAACUAAAACGGCCCGCAUGCGAAGAGCAACUUAUGGUCAAGUCUGCCAGUGGGUCCUGACAGCGUGGAGCAUUGUCAAAAAAUCCACUAUCAUCAACGGGUAUCGAAAGGCUGGACUGCUGCAUGUUGAAGAGGGCUCAGCAGGGGAUUUGCCUCCAGAUGAAAGUGACGAGGGCGACAAUGAAAACGAUCCAAUAUCGGACGAAGCAAUUCUGAGGCUAUUCAACUCCGACACCGAAGGAGAUGGUUUCAGUGCCCAGGAGGAGGAAGAUAGUGACCAAUGACUUUCUUGACUCCUCCCCGGUGUCAAGGCUGGCUCAAGAAAGCAGGAGAGGUAGAGUCAGGCGCAGGAGACAGUGAAUUCUUGAACACACUUUAAUUCAAGAAAACUGUUAUGGUCGUCAGAAAAUAGGGACGCAGCCCUUAAAUACUUCUGCGGUGGUAAAACACAAAAAACCAACCACAGGCAGAGGGGAAAAAAAACACACGUUCCUCAAGCACACAAACCUGACAAGGAACAUAAUCACGCACAAACACAGACAUACUACGCUAAACUAAAUAACCCCCCCUACUAAUAACUAACCCAAAACAGGUGCGUGCCUACCUAGACCUAACCAACAGAAAGUGAAACAAAAAGGAUCGAUGGCAGCUAGUAGGACGGCGACGACGACCGCCGAGCCCCGCCCGGUCGAGGGGGGAGUGCCACCAUCCGUCGGUGUCGUGACACCCGGCAUAUACUGGCACAGAAGGCCUAACACAUUGAGAGCACGUGGAGGAUUUCGUCGCCCAGAACAUCCACAGUAAAACACUGAAACCGGAUGAUUUCAACACUUUAAAUGACAAUUCUGAGCUCGACGAUUUGCUGUUGUAUGAGGCGGCCCGCCAUCUUGAUACAGACAGUUCUGACAUAGAAACAAUAAUGCAAAGGUAUAUAUUUCAUACAAUUACCCUGUUAAAACUGUUGUUACAAUAUCACUUCUCAUUGUGUACAUUUCCAGGUUUCACAAACAUAAAACAACUAUCUAAUUAAUGUUUAUCGGACUAACACACUGUUGAGUUUCCUAUUUACUAAAGAACAAUCACUAAGACAAAACACAAAAGUUGUAAUAUAAUCUGUAUACAUGUCAUUCUAUACUGAAAAUAGGGACAUUCUGAAAGAUGUUGAUGUGAUAACACAUUUUUUUUAUUCAUCUCUCAGUUUAGGAUAAUGCUGUUUAUUUUAUACUUUACUUAAAUUGUAUUAUUUAUCUUGUCUCAUACCAUGCUAAUACACUACUAAGCAAUGCAAACAGAUAUGGAAUUAACCCCGUAACAGGUGUGUGUCUUUUAUGGAUCAAGAAUUGAUCAAGAAUAACAAUAGCCUUGAUCAGAUCCUCUUCCCUAUUACGGCAUCAUAUAAUGCACAGUCAUAUGCAAAUCCAUAAAACUCCAUCAAUAAAACAUUGAAAACCUUAACAGGACUACUUGCAUAUGCAUAUCCUAGCUUCUGGGCCUGAGUAGCAGAUAGUUUACUUUGGGCACCUCAGUCAUCCAAACUUUGGAAUACUGCCCCCUAUUCCUAACAAGUUAAAGGUUUUGUAAGUUGUAACAGGUCUCAUUCCGCAGUCUAGAGAUCGGAUAAAAAAGGGCUUCCAUCUAAGGAAUGCCCCACUUACUAAAAGCAAACUCUUGUCAUAGACCAUCUUGCCCUUUGGAUACUGACUUAUGUUACAAGCCCCGUGUGUCUUAAAGCUUAAGAUAUAAUGUCUGCUGUAGACGGUUUUGACCCCAGGUUGCAACUACCAUUUUCGGCCUUAAUCACAGGCCCAUCCAAUAGCGGUAAAACUUGUUUUGUAAAAAGUAUUUUAGAGAAUUCUGAACAUGUAUUAUCUCAGAAACCUGACAAUAUUGUGUGGUGUUAUUCGUGUUAUCAACCUUUGUAUGAUGAGCUGUUGAAGAAAAUAAAAAUCAAGUUUGUUGAAGGAAUACCCGAAUCCCUGUCUGAUGAUGAACUUUUACCUCAUAAAAACAAUCUGCUGGUUUUGGACGAUAUGCUAUUUGCAGGUAGCGAACAUCCUGAAAUUGCACGAGCUUUUACCCAAUAUACUCAUCAUAGAAACCUGUCCGUACUUUACUUGGUGCAGAAUGUGUUUCACCAAGGUAAAAAUAGCCGUACCAUUAGUUUGAACGCCAAUUACAUGGUUUUGUUCGAAAACCCUAGAGACAAACUACAAAUUAACACUCAGCAGAUGUACCCAGGAUGGAAAUUGUACUUUAUGGAGAGCUAUGAGGACGCUACCAAAGCGCCAUUUUCUUAUUUAAUCGUGGAUUUAAAAUCAAAUACUCCAGAACACCUGAUGCUCCGAACCGGCUUGUUCCCGUGGGAGUGGCCGGCGGCGUACAUUCCUAAAAAGUAACAGCUAUGUCUCUGCGUUUAAAAAGAAACCUGCCCCUCUUGAGAAGCCUAGUUGGGGCUACCGCUAAAGAACGGAAGGCCAUCUUGGGUCACUGUUCUUCAGAUCUCAUAUUAUCCCUAUGUGAGAUUGCUUUGAAUCUUCUCAAAGGCUGCAUUCCACUCACCCUAACCCAAUUAAAAAAAUUAAAGAGACAAAAGACCGCGAUCAAACUCUUUGCCAAUAAAAGGGCCAGUCUUCAAAAGAAAAGACAUAGCAUACAACAGUCUGGGGGUUUUCUACCUUCUCUUCCUGCAGACUGAUUCCCUGUAUAGCUGUUUAAUUGUGCGUGCAUCUUAACAACCAUAGUCAAUGUCAGUUCUCACUGGACAUAAUUCUCAGUAAUCUGAACCAGGAGUGGUGAACCAAAUGUGUGUGUGAAUGUGGACAUAUUCUUACAAUAAACUCCCCUUAACCUGGACAUCCACUUUAUCUUUGUUCGGACCGGACAUUCUGUAGUGCUUCUUUCACAUGCAUUGCUUGCUGUUUGGGGUUUUAGGCUGGGUUUCUGUACAGCACUUUGAGAUAUCAGCUGAUAUACGAAGGGCUUUAUAAAUAAAUUUGAUUUGAUUUUGAUUUGGUUGCUACCGGCCUUAAGCCAGCACUUAGAGUUAAUUUAUUAUAUUCAUGGUCCUUUGAUUCUCCACAACCCUACCCCUAUUUUUCAAUAUAUAAAUACUAUUUAGCAGAUGCUUUAUCCAAAGCAACUUAUAGUCAUGUGUAAGUGAAUUUUUCCUUGUGGG
Molecule: long non-coding RNA, 5679 nt
Filed under: Salmo salar (Atlantic salmon)
Lineage: Eukaryota; Metazoa; Chordata; Actinopteri; Salmoniformes; Salmonidae
Description: lncRNA (ENSSSAG00000084386.1)
Source: RNAcentral